UACGGAGGGUGCGAGCGUUGUCCGGAAUCACUGGGCGUAAAGGGCGCGUAGGCGGCAUGCCAAGCGUGUGGUGAAAGCCCGGGGCUCAACCCCGGGUCGGCCGUGCGGACUGGCGUGCUCGAGCACUGUAGGGGCGGGUGGAAUUCCGGGUGUAGCGGUGGAAUGCGUAGAGAUCCGGAAGAACACCGGUGGCGAAGGCGGCCUGCUGGGCAGUAGCUGACGCUGAAGCGCGACAGCGUGGGGAGCAAACAGG
Molecule: ribosomal RNA, 253 nt
Filed under: uncultured bacterium
Lineage: Bacteria
Description: partial 16S ribosomal RNA
Rfam family: Bacterial small subunit ribosomal RNA
Source: RNAcentral